This 253-nucleotide ribosomal RNA is filed under the name uncultured bacterium. RNAcentral describes it as "partial 16S ribosomal RNA". It matches the Rfam family "Bacterial small subunit ribosomal RNA", at positions 524 to 776 of the family's 1533-position model. The record is from RNAcentral.
UACGUGGGGGGCAAGCGUUGUCCGGAAUCACUGGGCGUAAAGGGCGCGUAGGCGGCUCGGUAAGUAGGGGGUGAAAUCCUGCGGCUUAACCGCAGGGCUGCCUUCUAAACUGUCGAGCUCGAGCACGGUAGAGGCAGAUGGAAUUCCCGGUGUAGCGGUGGAAUGCGUAGAGAUCGGGAAGAACAUCAGUGGCGAAGGCGGUCUGCUGGGCCGUUGCUGACGCUGAGACGCGAAAGCGUGGGGAGCGAACAGG